This 61-nucleotide transfer RNA is filed under the name Rhipicephalus sanguineus (brown dog tick). RNAcentral's name for it is "tRNA-Ile". Lineage: Eukaryota; Metazoa; Arthropoda; Arachnida; Ixodida; Ixodidae. The record is from RNAcentral.
GUAAAAUGCCUGAAUAAAGGGUUAUCUUGAUAGGAUAAAUAAUGUAAUUUAUACUUUUACU